Molecule: ribosomal RNA, 165 nt
Filed under: Linzia accommodata
Lineage: Eukaryota; Viridiplantae; Streptophyta; Magnoliopsida; Asterales; Asteraceae
Description: 5.8S ribosomal RNA
Rfam family: 5.8S ribosomal RNA
About the family: 5.8S ribosomal RNA (5.8S rRNA) is a component of the large subunit of the eukaryotic ribosome. It is transcribed by RNA polymerase I as part of the 45S precursor that also contains 18S and 28S rRNA.
Source: RNAcentral
UAAAUGACUCUCGGCAACGGAUAUCUCGGCUCACGCAUCGAUGAAGAACGUAGCAAAAUGCGAUACUUGGUGUGAAUUGCAGAAUCCCGUGAACCAUCGAGUUUUUGAACGCAAGUUGCGCCCGAAGCCAUUCGGCCGAGGGCACGUCUGCCUGGGCGUCACACA